GGGGGGGGGGGGGGGGGGGGGGGGGGGGGGGGGGGGGGGGGGGGGGGGGGGGGGCGGGCUCGUCGGGGGGUAGCGGCGGACGGGGGAGUAACACGUGGAUAACCUACCUAUAAGACUGGGAUAACUUCGGGAAACCGGAGCUAAGACCGGAUAAUAUAUUGAACCGCAUGGUUCAAUAGUGGAAGACGGUUUUGCUGUCACUUAUAGAUGGAUCCGCGCCGCAUUAGCUAGUUGGUAAGGUAACGGCUUACCAAGGCAACGAUGCGUAGCCGACCUGAGAGGGUGAUCGGCCACACUGGAACUGAGACACGGUCCAGACUCCUACGGGAGGCAGCAGUAGGGAAUCUUCCGCAAUGGGCGAAAGCUUGACGGAGCAACGCCGCGUGAGUGAUGAAGGUCUUCGGAUCGUAAAACUCUGUUAUUAGGGAAGAACAAAUGUGUAAGUAACUAUGCACGUCUUGACGGUACCUAAUCAGAAAGCCACGGCUAACUACGUG
Molecule: ribosomal RNA, 497 nt
Filed under: uncultured bacterium
Lineage: Bacteria
Description: partial 16S ribosomal RNA
Rfam family: Bacterial small subunit ribosomal RNA
Source: RNAcentral